CCUACGGGUGGCAGCAGUGGGGAAUAUUGGUCAAUGGGGGAAACCCUGAACCAGCAACGCCGCGUGCAUGAUGAAGGCCCUCGGGGUGUAAAGCUCUUUUUUUACGGAAGUAAAUGACGUUACCUGUCGAACAAGCCCCGGCUAACUUCGUGCCAGCAGCCGCGGUAACACGGCGGGUGCAGGCGUUAUCCGGAAUUACUGGGCGUAAAGGGAGCGUAGGCGGGAUAGCAAGUCUGAUGUGAAAAGUUAGGGCUCAACCUUAGACCUGCAUUGGAAACUGUCGAGCUGGAGUACGGGGUAGGUAGGCGGAAUUCGUGGUGUAGCGGUGAAAUGCUUAGAUAUGAAGAAGAACACUGAUUGCGAAGGCGGCUUGCUGGAGCGUAACUGACGCUGAUGCUCGAAAGCGUGGGGAGCGAACAGGAUUAGAUACCCCUGUAGUC
This 440-nucleotide ribosomal RNA is filed under the name uncultured bacterium. RNAcentral describes it as "partial 16S ribosomal RNA". It matches the Rfam family "Bacterial small subunit ribosomal RNA", at positions 338 to 795 of the family's 1533-position model. The record is from RNAcentral.